This 106-nucleotide small nuclear RNA is filed under the name Catagonus wagneri (Chacoan peccary). The record is from RNAcentral. Lineage: Eukaryota; Metazoa; Chordata; Mammalia; Artiodactyla; Tayassuidae.
GUGUUCAAUUCAGCAGCACAUACACUAAAAUUGGAACAAUACAUAAAAGAUUAGUAUGGCCUCUGUGCAGGAUGACAUACAAAUUUACGAAGGGUUCCAUAUUUUA